UCUAUAUAUAUAUAUAUAUAUAUAGGUGAAAGGGUUGUUUGACCCGAGAGAGAGAUAAUUACCUCCAUGUGUGGGAAUCAAAAGGCUUGACAAUAUUAGCAGGCAAAAGAAAAGAAAUUCUUUCUCGUAUAUCCACCCAUAUCUCAUCUACUCAAAGGCAAAACACAGCCUGAAGCAAUCAUCAUCAUCAUGUUCUCCAGCUUCUCCUCCUCCCCUUCCUCCUCCUCCUUUCUCUCAUCAUUAACCCCUCACAUUAGUCCGCCACACACCAUCUCUCAACCUCCACCAAGCCCACAAAAGUCACCAUCACCAUCAUUCGCUCCAAAUUUCAGAACUAGGAAGAGGGAAAGGAUCAGAUUCGAACGAGGCUUGAUAGGAGAUGAGGAUGGGUUCGCUGAAGAAGAAGAAACCCUAUCUUUCGUGAGUGGAAGGACUUUGCUUCUUCCAGAUCAAGGAACUUCAGUUCAUUUUCUCUAGUCAUCGUCUCUUCUCUCUAUCCGGGGAAUCGAAGCAUCACGGUCCGAUCGAUUUGUUUAUUUUGUCCCGUUUGAAGCAAAUCUACAUCUAUAAAGUUGGAGCUUUGCCUUAUAUUUACGGAUCUAAUAUUGUCUUUAAAUCUGAAUCAUGUCUGAGGUGGUUUAAUUAGGUUGUUAUUAAGGAAGAUGCAUCAACUUACUAAGGUAUGUCGAUUAUGUUUUGAAUCAUUAUUAUGUGACCUUUUGAACUAUGUGCGAGUGUGAGAGAGUGCGAGAGCUUGUUGUGUGUAUUUCCUCCUAGUCUGCGUAUUGUGAUUCUCUGACUUCAAACGGUUUGUCUAGGGACUGUAGUAUGUAUUGUUUGAUCUCAAAGGCAACAGAAGAACAAGAAGACUAUGGAAAUGAAAGUUGGAUUUGUUUCUGUAUCUCUUAUGGAUUCAACGAUUACCUUCAGUAUAUGUCCAAGCUGUAACUGUUGGUGUUUUAGCAUUUCUUAGAUUGAUCGCUACUUUACUGGAAGGUGAUUUGAAGGUUCGCAAAACACACGUGUGUGGUAGAAGAUAUGAAAAUAAGGGCGUAUUUGUUUGAGUGAAAGAAUUUUCCAUAAAUUCGUUUUCUGGAUUUUCACUCGUUUGGUUUGCUGAAAAUGAUCGGUUAACAGAAAAUCAUUUAUGGGUAAGGAAAAUACACAUGCUUAAAGUUAGAAAAAUGAAUUCUGUAA
Molecule: long non-coding RNA, 1197 nt
Organism: Syzygium oleosum
Lineage: Eukaryota; Viridiplantae; Streptophyta; Magnoliopsida; Myrtales; Myrtaceae
Exons: 2
Source: RefSeq, a predicted model, not a curated record